RNAcentral lists this ribosomal RNA (333 nucleotides) under uncultured bacterium. Its description in RNAcentral is "bacterial SSU rRNA". It matches the Rfam family "Bacterial small subunit ribosomal RNA", at positions 41 to 394 of the family's 1533-position model. The record is from RNAcentral.
GGCAGGCUUAACACAUGCAAGUCAGAACGAUCCCUAUCGGGGAUAGUGGCAGACGGGUAGAGUAACGCAGUGGGAACCUUCCCUGUGGUACGGAAUAGCUCCGGGAAACUGGAAUUAAUACCGUAUACGCCCUUCGGGGGAAAGAUUUAUCAGCCAUAGGAUGGGCCCGCGUUGGAUUAGCUAGUUGGUGAGGUAACAGGCAUCACCAAGGCGACGAUCCAUAGCUGGUCUUAGAGGAUGAUCAGCCACACUGGGACUGAGACACGGACCAGACUACCUACGGGAGGCAGCAGUGGGGAAUAUUGGACAAUGGGCGCAAGCCUGAUCCAGCCA